RNAcentral lists this unclassified non-coding RNA (372 nucleotides) under uncultured fungus. Its description in RNAcentral is "partial contains small subunit ribosomal RNA, internal transcribed spacer 1, and 5.8S ribosomal RNA". The stretch from base 1 to 73 matches the Rfam family "Eukaryotic small subunit ribosomal RNA", at positions 1759 to 1831 of the family's 1831-position model. The record is from RNAcentral. Lineage: Eukaryota; Fungi.
GCAAACUUGGUCAUUUAGAGGAAGUAAAAGUCGUAACAAGGUUUCCGUAGGUGAACCUGCGGAAGGAUCAUUAAUGAAUUGAACUUGGUCAAGUUGAUUUGCUGGUCCUUAGGGACAUGUGCUCACUUGGCUAUUGUUUCUUGACCACCUGUGCACCUUUUGUAGAUCUCGAGUUUCCUGACUCUUAUCAACCUUGGUUGGAUUGAGGCAUUGCUGUGUUGCAUGAUCUCAAGGGAACUCAGGUCUAUGCCUUUUUUUUAAAAUACACUCUGAUUGUAUUGGGAUGGUAUUGAUGGGCUUAUAAUGCCUAUAACAAUAAAUACAACUUUCAACAACGGAUCUCUUGGCUCUCGCAUCGAUGAAGAACGCAGC